RNAcentral lists this ribosomal RNA (217 nucleotides) under uncultured bacterium. Its description in RNAcentral is "partial 16S ribosomal RNA". It matches the Rfam family "Bacterial small subunit ribosomal RNA", at positions 15 to 226 of the family's 1533-position model. The record is from RNAcentral.
GAUCCUGUCUCAGGAUGAACGCUAGCUACAGGCUUAACACAUGCAAGUCGAGGGGCAGCAUGGUCUUAGCUUGCUAAGACUGAUGGCGACCGGCGCACGGGUGAGUAACACGUAUCCAACCUGCCGUCUACUCUUGGACAGCCUUCUGAAAGGAAGAUUAAUACAAGAUGGCAUCAUGAGUCCGCAUGUUCACAUCAUUAAGAUUAUCGUGUACGAG